Columba livia (rock pigeon) is the source of this 286-nucleotide long non-coding RNA. RefSeq lists it as uncharacterized. The transcript is spliced from 3 exons. The record is from RefSeq and is a predicted model, not a curated record. Lineage: Eukaryota; Metazoa; Chordata; Aves; Columbiformes; Columbidae.
UGUUAUUCACGAAUGAGCAGGCUGGUGGAUCAUAUCCAGGAUGUCCUGUAUGACCUCCUAUGCUGAUUCCCCAAACACAAUCCCUUCUUUAAACUGUGAUCAUCUUGAGAAACAGAAUGGCAGCACUAAAGGACGUGCCUCCUGUUACUACUGAGACGGAUGUUAAGAAACGUACAGUAUUUCCUCAGAUAAAUCGGAUUCCCACUGGCAAAUAAUUCCAGCUGUGAUCAGUGCAUGCAAAAAGGGAAUACUUGCAGACCAGCAGGAUGUGGACCUGGAAGGAUGG